AUUGAACGCUGGCGGCAGGCCUAACACAUGCAAGUCGAGCGGAUGAAGGGAGCUUGCUCCUGGAUUCAGCGGCGGCCGGGUGAGUAAUGCCUAGGAAUCUGCCUGGUCUUGGGGGAUAACGUCCGGAAACGGGCGCUAAUACCGCAUACGUCCUGAUGGAGAAAGUGGGGGAUCUUCGGACCUCACGCUAUCAGAUGAGCCUAGGUCGGAUUAGCUAGUUGGUGGGGUAAAGGCCUACCAAGGCGACGAUCCGUAACUGGUCUGAGAGGAUGAUCAGUCACACUGGAACUGAGACACGGUCCAGACUCCUACGGGAGGCAGCAGUGGGGAAUAUUGCACAAUGGGCGAAAGCCUGAUCCAGCCAUGCCGCGUGUGUGAAGAAGGUCUUCGGAUGGUAAAGCACUGUAAGUUGGGAGGAAGGGCAGUAAGUUAAUACCUUGCUGUUUUGACGGUACCAACAGAAUAAGCACCGGCUAACUUCGUG
This 484-nucleotide ribosomal RNA is filed under the name uncultured bacterium. Its description in RNAcentral is "partial 16S ribosomal RNA". It matches the Rfam family "Bacterial small subunit ribosomal RNA", at positions 30 to 507 of the family's 1533-position model. The record is from RNAcentral.